This 270-nucleotide ribosomal RNA is filed under the name uncultured archaeon. RNAcentral describes it as "partial 16S ribosomal RNA". It matches the Rfam family "Archaeal small subunit ribosomal RNA", at positions 477 to 747 of the family's 1478-position model. The record is from RNAcentral.
CAGCACCUCAAGUGGUCAGGAUGUUUAUUGGGCCUAAAGCAUCCGUAGCCGGCGCUGUAAGUUUUCGGUUAAAUCUGUACGCUCAACGUACAGGCUGCCGGGAAUACUGCAGCGCUAGGGAGUGGGAGAGGUAGACGGUACUCGGUAGGAAGGGGUAAAAUCCUUUGAUCUAUUGAUGACCACCUGUGGCGAAGGCGGUCUACCAGAACACGUCCGACGGUGAGGGAUGAAAGCUGGGGGAGCAAACCGGAUUAGAGACCCGAGUAGUCC